AGGGAAAUAGCUCAGUGGUAGAGUGGAUGCUUAGCUUGCAUGAAGUCUAGGUUCAAUCCCCAGUACCUCCA
Molecule: transfer RNA, 71 nt
Filed under: Camelus bactrianus (Bactrian camel)
Lineage: Eukaryota; Metazoa; Chordata; Mammalia; Artiodactyla; Camelidae
Also listed under: 2 other names
Rfam family: tRNA
About the family: Transfer RNA (tRNA) molecules are approximately 80 nucleotides in length. Their secondary structure includes four short double-helical elements and three loops (D, anti-codon, and T loops).
Source: Rfam by way of RNAcentral